This 232-nucleotide ribosomal RNA is filed under the name uncultured bacterium. Its description in RNAcentral is "partial 16S rRNA". It matches the Rfam family "Bacterial small subunit ribosomal RNA", at positions 505 to 736 of the family's 1533-position model. The record is from RNAcentral.
GUGCCAGCAGCCGCGGUAAUACGUAGGUGGCAAGCGUUGUCCGGAUUUACUGGGCGUCAAGGAUGUGUAGGCGGAUAUUUUAGUGAGAUGUGAAAUCCCCGGGCUUAACUUGGGGGCUGCAUUUCAAACUGGAUGUCUAGAGUGCAGGAGAGGAAAGCAGAAUUCCUAGUGUAGCGGUGAAAUGAGUAGAGGUUAGGAAGAAUACCAGUGGCGAAGGCAGCUUUCUGGACUG